CCGCUUACCCUUAGAACGUUAUACCACGCAGUGGUUAUACCUUUAUCACUUUACGGAUAUGAAUUUUGGAAUACAUGCAUGCAAACGGAUAUUAAAGGACUUGAGGUAGCGCACAGGCGUUGCGUUUAACCCAUUGUAGUGUCAAACCCGGCUCGAGGCCGAUUACUUGGAUUAAAAUAACCAUAAACAAAACAACACGACACACCAUUGAAGGUUCCACAAUCUAAUAAGCGCCCUCUAAACAUGUGCAUAUCAGGGGAUGCCACUCUAACAAUAAUCCUUGUAAUAGGUAUAACAGAAUUACUUCCCUUAGACCAUUGAAUACUCAUAACAUGAUACGAUACUACACCCAUAUAGUCAUUGUAAAUGUCUACCAGCACUGACUUUUCACACGCAGUGUUAGAUGUUAAGUCACUCGAAACAGGUGUUGACGCAAGAAAGCUUUAAUGUAUUGGAUAGCUGUGUAAUCUUCCUUGUAGAUGUAUGUAGACACUUGGCCAAAUACGUAUUCCUGAAUAGACUGGUGCGAUUUCUUAACAAUGAUUAUGAAUGCCAAUGAUUUAUCAGUGCUUUAUUUGGAUAACCUCAUAGGAACAAUCUAAAUGAGUAUCUUAAUAUGAACUUGAGCAGUGAGACAUUUGUUCAAAGAUGCAGUGGAAGAGCAUUCUCCGGCAACACGUGACAAAUGCGACCAGAGAAGCCAGAUGCUUGACGUUGCCGGCAAGACUAUGACGUUAGUUGACUCCGGAAAUGCUAGAGAUAAUGGCUUGACCUUGGUGAGAACAAGGUUCAUGCCAUCCGGAAGGCGAUGACAUUUGAGAUACUUACUGGAGCAUUGAUGCCCAGAGAAUAAUGCGAACAGUUUUGUAGAUCACGCACUAUUUUGACCAUAGAUCAAGUGAUGACAUAUAUUUGUUCAAACUGAUUGAGAAAUUUUGAUGCAUGCUAAAACAGCAUCAAUAUUUUUUGUGGAUCAAGGCAGCGACCUGUUGUUAUUCGUUAUGCAUUUAUGCUUGCCUCAAAGGGUCUCCCUGUUGUGUUAAGUUUGUAAAUAUUUUUUUCUUGCCCAAACUCUGUUUAAUUGGCCACUGAAUUAAAAAAAAUCGUGUUUGUAUUACUAUGCUUUUUAUAGCCAGUAAAAAGGGCGAUACAAUUAUUGAGUGUCUUUACUGAACUUUAUUUUUAGGUCACCUGAGCACAACGUGCUCAUAGUGAGCUUUUGUGUUCGCCUUUUGUCCGUCGUGUGUUGUGCGUCGUCAACAUUUGCCGUGUUAACUCUCUAGACGCCACAUUUAUUAUUCAUCUUCGUGAAAUUUGUCAAGAAGAUUGGUCUCAAUGAUAUCCCGUAAGAGUUCGAAAAUGGUUACCUUUGCUUGAAAAACAUGGCUGCCAAGGGGCGGGGGAUUUUUCCUUAUAUGGCUAUAGUAAAAUUUUGUUAACACUCUAGAGGCGACAUUUAUUGCCAGAUCUUCAUGGAACUUGGUCAGACGAUCCAUCCCAAUAAUAGCUUAGACGAGU
Molecule: long non-coding RNA, 1518 nt
Organism: Dreissena polymorpha
Lineage: Eukaryota; Metazoa; Mollusca; Bivalvia; Myida; Dreissenidae
Exons: 3
Source: RefSeq, a predicted model, not a curated record